RNAcentral lists this transfer RNA (90 nucleotides) under Metschnikowia bicuspidata. It matches the Rfam family "tRNA". From Rfam's summary of the family: Transfer RNA (tRNA) molecules are approximately 80 nucleotides in length. Lineage: Eukaryota; Fungi; Ascomycota; Pichiomycetes; Serinales; Metschnikowiaceae. The record is from Rfam by way of RNAcentral.
GCCCGAUUAGCUCAGUCGGUAGAGCGUUUGACUCUUAAAAUAUUCAUAAGGACAAUCAAAAUGUCGCGGGUCCAAGCCCCGCAUCAAGUG